GACACAGUCAUAUUUCAGAAGCAAAUAAAGCACUACCAUGAACAUUGUUGUCUUCCAAAUAAAAUGGGCUUUAAAGUUUGCAUGGAUUUCCAAACAAUCCUGAAUUAAGAAGACAGUGGCUUGUAAAUAUUCAUCGUGACAAAUUAAAGCUAACGCCACACAGCAAAGUUUGCAUCCUUCACUUCUCCCCCUUUACUUGGUCUCUGUUUGACACUAACGACAACAAACACACUUUAAAAUAAGCACAUAAAACAUUGUCCACAAAGUUUAAAGAAAGUAAAACUCACCAUCGUGUCUGUGAAUGUAUAACGAGGCGUACAUCUUAUAAUCUUUCUCCAACUUACUUGUUGGGGCUUUGGAUUGAGCUACAUCAUUAACUGUUACCUUAGGCAAGCACCUAGUGUAAAAUGCCAUUUUCAAUAGACCGGAAGCGACCAAGCCGCUUAUCCCCGAACACGGAAGCUGACGUGCAAAGAACCCAUACCUGCUUUUAUGGCAGCUACUCACCGCACCACAUGUGAGACGCUGUCCGUCCUUGCCGCAGAUGUGUGAUCGUGGAGCAAAACCUUCAACUGAUCACACGGUUUGACAAGCGGGAACUGAGGCCAGGUUCCUGUCCCAGAUCCUGGAUUCUGAUCGUCUGUUGCCCAGUGGACAAGACUGGUGAGCUAACCAAACAUCGACUCAAGAGAAACGUCACAUCCUGUCAACUCCUUCCAAUCUGGCAAGAGAAAAAGCAAAGGGAGCAGACUGAGGCAGAAUCAGAAACAGAGAGAGAGAAAAAAUGAAAAACAGGAUCAAACAGCCUGGCUGGCAAUGAACUUGGAACUGGAGAGCUGGAGCACAUGGCAACAAAGACAUCUUGGCAAAGAGCAUUGGCUAUGUACUGACAGCAUAAUAGAAAUACAUUUACGAAAAAAGAAAAAAAAAAUUAAAGUCUCCUUUGUUUUGUUUUUUUUCAUGCACUUUUCUCCGAAUAGUUCUGAGGCUUUUUUUUUUUCUUACCUCUGUACAACCCUCAAAAAUCAAAAAAGUGGUUAGCUGAUCCAUGGCCUGGACCAAGCUGUAAUUUUCUAAUCAGUUAACCAACGUCAAAACGAUGGCUCCCACUUAUUGUUUAACGCAGAAGCUUUUCAGUGUGCAGACCACACAAUAUGAAAAGGUUCUCUCAAAUAAAUAUGAUACUGUGUUCCUAUUAUUAUUCGUUUGACAUUUGCCUUGCAUCACUGAAAUAUUGCUUACAGAUAUAUACAGACAGAGACAUAUUCUGCCAUAAUUAUGUCUGUGCACAGCACAGGGUAGCUUUGUUUCAGUCACUGGUAUUAAUUUUCAUCCUGUAUCCUGUUGUACAUGCUUUGGAGAAAUUGGUGGACUUUGUGAUCUAUUAAAAAAAAAAAAACGGUUAACAUAUCGUUUUAAUCAAAUAAUACUUUGAAUUAUUAUUUUUUCUUUAUUAUUGUGUAUUGCUGUCUUUUUGGCUGUUGUAUA
This is a long non-coding RNA of Poecilia reticulata (guppy), 1488 nucleotides long. RefSeq lists it as uncharacterized. The record is from RefSeq and is a predicted model, not a curated record. NCBI's taxonomy places the organism in Eukaryota, Metazoa, Chordata, Actinopteri, Cyprinodontiformes, Poeciliidae.